UACGUAGGGGGCUAGCGUUAUCCGGAAUUACUGGGCGUAAAGGGUGCGUAGGUGGUUUCUUAAGUCAGAGGUGAAAGGCUACGGCUCAACCGUAGUAAGCCUUUGAAACUGGGAAACUUGAGUGCAGGAGAGGAUAGUGGAAUUCCUAGUGUAGCGGUAAAAUGCGUAGAUAUUAGGAGGAACACCAGUGGCGAAGGCGAUUCUCUGGACUGUAACUGACGCUGAGGCUCGAAAGCGUGGGGAGCAAACAGGAUUAGAUACCCCGGUAGUCCCUGAGCGGGCU
Molecule: ribosomal RNA, 283 nt
Filed under: uncultured prokaryote
Description: partial 16S ribosomal RNA
Rfam family: Bacterial small subunit ribosomal RNA
Source: RNAcentral